GAUGAACGCUGGCGGCGUGCCUAAUACAUGCAAGUCGAGCGAACAGACGAGGAGCUUGCUCCUCUGACGUUAGCGGCGGACGGGUGAGUAACACGUGGAUAACCUACCCAUAAGACUGGGAUAACUUCGGGAAACCGGAGCUAAUACCGGAUAAUAUAUUGAACCGCAUGGUUCAAUAGUGAAAGACGGUUUUGCUGUCACUUAUAGAUGGAUCCGCGCCGCAUUAGCUAGUUGGUAAGGUAACGGCUUACCAAGGCAACGAUGCGUAGCCGACCUGAGAGGGUGAUCGGCCACACUGGAACUGAGCCACGGUCCAGACUCCUACGGGAGGCAGCAGUAGGGAAUCUUCCGCAAUGGGCGAAAGCCUGACGGAGCAACGCCGCGUGAGUGAUGAAGGUCUUCGGAUCGUAAAACUCUGUUAUUAGGGAAGAACAAAUGUGUAAGUAACUAUGCACGUCUUGACGGUACCUAAUCAGAAAGCCACGGCUAACUACGUG
This 497-nucleotide ribosomal RNA is filed under the name uncultured bacterium. Its description in RNAcentral is "partial 16S ribosomal RNA". It matches the Rfam family "Bacterial small subunit ribosomal RNA", at positions 28 to 507 of the family's 1533-position model. The record is from RNAcentral.